GCGAGGAUGGCGGAAUCUGGCAGACGCGUUGGAUUUAGGAUCCAAUCCUUUUUGGGUGGGGGUUCAACUCCCCCUCCUCGCA
This 82-nucleotide transfer RNA is filed under the name Caldifarciminota bacterium. Its description in RNAcentral is "candidate division WOR-3 bacterium (hot springs metagenome) tRNA-Leu". It matches the Rfam family "tRNA". From Rfam's summary of the family: Transfer RNA (tRNA) molecules are approximately 80 nucleotides in length. Their secondary structure includes four short double-helical elements and three loops (D, anti-codon, and T loops). The record is from RNAcentral. Lineage: Bacteria; Pseudomonadati; Caldifarciminota.